Molecule: long non-coding RNA, 1090 nt
Filed under: Mus spicilegus (steppe mouse)
Lineage: Eukaryota; Metazoa; Chordata; Mammalia; Rodentia; Muridae
Description: lncRNA (ENSMSIG00000007894.1)
Source: RNAcentral
UUAAUCAGAGCAUUUUAUUACAAUGGCCAGAAAUGAUAUUAAAUAAUACACAUUCACUCUUGGGCUGACUACUGACCUGCCUUUCCAUGCCACGUGUGUUUCAGGUAUGUCCUGCCACAUGGGCUGUUGCACCAGGGACUGCAUUGUCUUAGAAUGUUCCUUCCCCCCUGGCAGUUGCUCACAGCCUCCAUUCCUAUCACAGCCACCUGGAUGGAAAGUAAUCCCCUGCUCUGAGCCUUCAUUCCCCUUCCCACUUGAUUUUUGUUGUUCUUGGAAUAAGUCCCUUCCUAAUGAGCCGUGCAACUAAUUAUUUCCUUGUUUAUUGACUGUCUACUUGGCAGUAGGCAAGCUGUAUGAGGAUGAAUGGAGAGUGUUUUCUGCUUCCUGCUUCCUGCUUCCUGUUUCCUGAUUCCUGCUUUCUGCUUCUCACUUCCUGCUUCCUGCUUCCCACUUCCUGCUUCAGGGCCCGCAUUCACCUGAUACUCCACAGCCCAACUAGUACCACAUCUCAACUAAUCUUGGAGAUCCAACAGCUGAUGGGAGCUAUGCCUCCAGGUGAUUCUCAGGCGCUCCAGGCCUACUGUUUAGCACGAACCCAGAGCAUCCCUGCUUGGCCCUCAUUUCUAAGAAGGCUGGGUUAAGACAGUUGGCCAGCCAGCUCAGGAAGACAAGAUCAGAGUCCCCCAGCUCCUCAGUGGAGUUAGAGGUGGCAACAUUGACUCACAGAGGAAACAGGACUUCUGGGGUGCUGGCAACAGGAAGACUGGGGUACAUUUAAGAGCAAACAAGCCCAGGUGCAGAGCUUCACCUGUGAAACUGCUUCCUGCUUCCUUCCCAGAGCUGUGAAAGACCCACCACUCCUUCUGUACAAGCACAGUGCACCAAAGCCUGGUCUCUCAGACUCCUGUCACCAGGGGGCACAGAAAAGAAAGUGCUCUGGAAAAAGAGGAUCUAGUCUCCCAGCUGGCACUAGAUUGAGCUGCUGGGCUGUUUGGUUCUGGUCCAUACUGGAGGAAGAACACAUUCACACUCUGACCUUAUUUGGUUUCUUAUAAAAUGAGAAUGACACCUGGCAGCCUAUUCUAGUCUG